GUUCCUGGCUCAGGAUGAACGCUAGCGGCAGGCUUAACACAUGCAAGUCGAGGGGCAGCAUAAUGGAUAGCAAUAUCUAUGGUGGCGACCGGCGCACGGGUGCGUAACGCGUAUGCAACCUACCUUUAACAGGGGGAUAACACUGAGAAAUUGGUACUAAUACCCCAUAACAUCAUGAGAGGCAUCUUUUAUGGUUGAAAAUUCCGAUGGUUAGAGAUGGGCAUGCGUUGUAUUAG
Molecule: ribosomal RNA, 236 nt
Filed under: uncultured bacterium
Lineage: Bacteria
Description: partial 16S ribosomal RNA
Rfam family: Bacterial small subunit ribosomal RNA
Source: RNAcentral